This 93-nucleotide small nucleolar RNA is filed under the name Nicotiana sylvestris (wood tobacco). RNAcentral's name for it is "Small nucleolar RNA SNORD24". It matches the Rfam family "Small nucleolar RNA SNORD24". Rfam says of the family: U24 is a member of the C/D class of snoRNA which contain the C (UGAUGA) and D (CUGA) box motifs. Lineage: Eukaryota; Viridiplantae; Streptophyta; Magnoliopsida; Solanales; Solanaceae. The record is from Rfam by way of RNAcentral. RNAcentral also lists the same sequence under 1 other name.
GGCCGGUGAUGUUAAAAAGAUAUUUGCUACUUUUGAUAGGGAUUUACAAAAUUUCCAUCUGAUGAUUCCUUAUCCACCAAGACCUCCGAGGCC